CUUUGGUCUUUGAUGUUGGUGACCUUCAGAUGGGGUUUCUGUGUGGAUGUCCUUUUUGUUGAUGUUGAUACUACUCCUUUCUGUUUGUUAGUUUUCCUUCUAACAGUCAGGCCCCUCUGCUGCAGGUCUGCUGGAGUUUGUUGGAGUUCCACUCCAGACCCUGUUUGCCUGGGUAUCACCAGCAGAGGCUGCAGAACAGCAAAGAUUGCUGCCUUUUCCUUCCUCUGGGAAGCUUCGUCCCAGAGGGGCACCUGCCAGAUGCCAGCCGGAGCUCUUGUAUAUGAGGUGAAAAGCAAUCACGGAGUUAAAAGAAGACAAGCUGAAAUGAUGCAGGCUGCUCCUAUGUUGGAAAUUUGUUCAUUAAAAUUCUCCCAAUAAAGCUUUAC
This 386-nucleotide long non-coding RNA is filed under the name Homo sapiens (human). Its description in RNAcentral is "long non-coding RNA NONHSAT137006.2". Lineage: Eukaryota; Metazoa; Chordata; Mammalia; Primates; Hominidae. The record is from RNAcentral.